CUGAGGCGUGAUGUGGAGGUUCCGGAAACGGAACUGAAGCUGCUGACCCCACACUGUCGAGAAAAGCUUCUAGUUAGAGAAUUACCGCCCGUACCGUAAACCGACACAGGUAUGCGGGGAGAGAAUCCUAAGGUGCGCGGGAGAACCCUCGUUAAGGAACUCGGCAAAAUGUACCCGUAACUUCGGGAUAAGGGUAGCCGCUGUUGUGAAGUCUGCACAGACGGAGCAUGAGGCGGUCGCAGAGAAGAGGCCCAAGCGACUGUUUACCACAAACACAGGUGCCUGCUAAAGAGAAAUCUGACGUAUAGGUGCUGACACCUGCCCAGUGCCGGAAGGUUAAGGAAGGAUGUCCGGAGCAAUCCAAAGCAUUCGACCGAAGCCCCGGUGAACGGCGGCCGUAACUAUAACGGUCCUAAGGUAGCGAAAUUCCUUGUCGGGUAAGUUCCGACCCGCACGAAAGGUGUAACGAUUUGGGCACUGUCUCAACGAGGGACCCGGUGAAAUUGAAGUACCUGUGAAGAUGCAGGUUACCCGCGACUGGACAGAAAGACCCCAUGGAGCUUUACUGUAACCUGACAUUGGGUUCUGAUACAUCACGUACAGGAUAGGUGGGAGGCAUGGAAGCGAGGACGCUAGUCUUCGUGGAGCCGCCGUUGGGAUACCACCCUUGAUGUAUCGGAAUUCUAACCGUAGGAGUAACGAAACUCGGGACAGUGUCAGGCGGGCAGUUUGACUGGGGCGGUCGCCUCCCAAAGAGUAACGGAGGCGCCCAAAGGUUCCCUCAGCGCGGCCGGAAAUCGCGCGAAGAGUGUAAAGGCAGAAGGGAGCUUGACUGAGAGCCAAACACGGCGAUCAGGUACGAAAGUAGGGCUUAGUGAUCCGGUGGCAUCCAAGUGGAAGGGCCAUCGCUCAACGGAUAAAAGCUACCCUGGGGAUAACAGGCUAAUCUCUCCCAAGAGUCCAUAUCGACGGGGAGGUUUGGCACCUCGAUGUCGGCUCAUCACAUCCUGGGGCUGAAGUCGGUCCCAAGGGUUGGGCUGUUCGCCCAUUAAAGUGGUACGUGAGCUGGGUUCAGAACGUCGUGAGACAGUUCGGUCCCUAUCCAUCGCGGGCGCAAGAGAUUUGAAGGGGGCUGCUCCUAGUACGAGAGGACCGGAGUGGACGAACCAAUGGUGUACCAAUUAUCUCGCCAGAGGUAUAGUUGGGUAGCUACGUUCGGAAAGGAUAAACGCUGAAAGCAUCUAAGCGUGAAACCAGCCUUAAGAUGAGAUCUCUCAUAGAGUAAUCUAGUAAGACACCUUGGAGAAGACGAGGUUGAUAGGUCGGGAGUGUAAGUACAGUAAUGUAUUCAGCGGACCGAUACUAAUAUGUCGAGGGCUUGACUUA
This 1386-nucleotide ribosomal RNA is filed under the name human gut metagenome. Its description in RNAcentral is "bacterial LSU rRNA". It matches the Rfam family "Bacterial large subunit ribosomal RNA", at positions 1556 to 2925 of the family's 2925-position model. The record is from RNAcentral.